UACGUAGGGCGCAAGCGUUGUCCGGAAUUAUUGGGCGUAAAGAGCUCGUAGGCGGCUUGUCACGUCGGGUGUGAAAGCCCGGGGCUUAACCCCGGGUCUGCAUUCGAUACGGGCUAGCUAGAGUGUGGUAGGGGAGAUCGGAAUUCCUGGUGUAGCGGUGAAAUGCGCAGAUAUCAGGAGGAACUCCGGUGGCGAAGGCGGAUCUCUGGGCCAUUACUGACGCUGAGGAGCGAAAGCGUGGGGAGCGAACAGG
Molecule: ribosomal RNA, 253 nt
Filed under: uncultured bacterium
Lineage: Bacteria
Description: partial 16S ribosomal RNA
Rfam family: Bacterial small subunit ribosomal RNA
Source: RNAcentral